Acanthaster planci (crown-of-thorns starfish) is the source of this 304-nucleotide long non-coding RNA. The record is from RefSeq and is a predicted model, not a curated record. NCBI's taxonomy places the organism in Eukaryota, Metazoa, Echinodermata, Asteroidea, Valvatida, Acanthasteridae.
GUGGUUUCCCGUUGGUUGCACCAGAACAAUAGUGCACUUCUGCAGCAGCGUUGAGAUCUCCGACUCCAGAGCAUGUUACUGGGAUUGAUCUUUUGGAACUGGAGUCGGCCGGAAAGAUACAUCGGACGGUGGGGGACUCAUAAAUUCCAGAUAGCAGUUGACUUUUGCUGAAGAGUGCACUGAGGGGAUAAAAAUUUGGUGUCAGACGUACCGGUAAGAAAAACUUUCUGAUAAGGCUAUGAAGAAGAUUAAGUGGGCGUUAGGACCUUAUCGUCAAUGGCAAAGUCAGCGCAACCAGCAGGCC